This 336-nucleotide ribosomal RNA is filed under the name uncultured bacterium. RNAcentral describes it as "partial 16S ribosomal RNA". It matches the Rfam family "Bacterial small subunit ribosomal RNA", at positions 338 to 691 of the family's 1533-position model. The record is from RNAcentral.
CCUACGGGUGGCAGCAGUGGGGGAUAUUGCACAAUGGGGGGAACCCUGAUGCAGCGACGCCGCGUGAGCGAAGAAGUACCUCGGUAUGUAAAGCUCUAUCAGCAGGGAAGAAAAUGACGGUACCUGACUAAGAAGCCCCGGCAAAAUACGUGCCAGCAGCCGCGGGAAUACGUAUGGGGCAAGCGUUAUCCGGAUUUACUGGGGGUAAAGGGAGCGCAGGCGGCCUGCCAAGUCUGGGGUGAAGACUCGGGGCCCAACCCCGGGCCUGCAGUGGAAACUGGCGGGCUGGGGUGUCGGAGGGGCAGGGGGAAUUGCUGGUGUGGCGGUGAAAGGCGU